RNAcentral lists this ribosomal RNA (502 nucleotides) under Candida tropicalis. Its description in RNAcentral is "partial 18S ribosomal RNA". The stretch from base 175 to 332 matches the Rfam family "5.8S ribosomal RNA". The record is from RNAcentral. Lineage: Eukaryota; Fungi; Ascomycota; Pichiomycetes; Serinales; Debaryomycetaceae.
UAGGACUGUAAUGAAAGGGGACUGCGGACGAUCUUUACUGAUUUGCUUUAUUGCACCACAUGAGUUUUUUAUUGAUCCAAUUUCUUUGGUGGCGGGAGCAAUCCUACCGCCAGAGGUUAUUCUAAACCAAACUUUUUAUUUACAGUCAAACUUGAUUUAUUAUUACGGUAAGCAAACUUUCAACACGGAUCUCUUGGUUCUCGCUUUCGACGCAGAACGCAGCGAAAUGCGAUACGUAAUAUGCCAAUUUGCAGAUAUUCGUGAAUCAUCGAAUCUUUGAACGCCCAUUGCGGCCCUUUGGGAUUCCAAAGGGGAUGCCCGGUUGAGCGUCUUUUCUCCCUCCAAACCCCCGGGGUUGGGGGUUAGCAUACCCUAGGAAACAAAACUUUUUUUAAAUGCCAACCUUGGAAAAAAAAGGGCUUUUGGUUUUUUCCUUUUAAAAAAAAACAAAACCCCGGGGGGGGAAAAAAAAAAAUAAAAUGGGGGUUUGGCCCCCCGCGGC